This 73-nucleotide transfer RNA is filed under the name Mus musculus (house mouse). RNAcentral's name for it is "tRNA-Ser". Lineage: Eukaryota; Metazoa; Chordata; Mammalia; Rodentia; Muridae. The record is from RNAcentral.
GGAGAGAUGGCUCAGUGGUUAAGAGCACUGACUGCUCUUCCAGAGGUCCUGAGUUCAAAUCCCAGCACCCACA